GGCGAGUUUCUUCGGGGCGGAGCUCGACCGCCAACACAAGAAGUAGUCGCGUUCAUCGACGCGAACCGCGACGAGCUCGGUGUCGAGCCCAUCUGCAGCGUGCUGCAGGUGGCGCCG
The sequence is a regulatory RNA element, 117 nucleotides long. It matches the Rfam family "ALIL pseudoknot". The record is from Rfam.